GAUGAACGCUAGCGGCAGGCUUAACACAUGCAAGUCGAGGGGCAUCACGGGUAGCAAUACCUGGUGGCGACCGGCGCAAGGGUGCGUAACGCGUGAGCAACAUGCCCUAUACAGGGGGAUAAUCCAGGGAAACUUGGUCUAAUAUCCCAUAGCAUUUAGAGGUGGCAUCACCAUUAAAUUAAAGCUUCGGUGGUAUAGGAUUGGCUCGCGUGACAUUAGCUGGAUGGUGGGGUAACGGCUCACCAUGGCUAUGAUGUCUAGGGGUUCUGAGAGGAAGACCCCCCACACUGGGACUGAGACACGGCCCAGACUCCUACGGGAGGCAGCAGUGAGGAAUAUUGGACAAUGGAUGGAAAUCUGAUCCAGCCAUGCCGCGUGCAGGAAGACGGCCCUAUGGGUUGUAAACUGCUUUUAUAUGGGAGCAAUAAGGUCUACGAGUAGACCGAUGAGAGUACCAUAUGAAUAAGCAUCGG
This 473-nucleotide ribosomal RNA is filed under the name uncultured bacterium. RNAcentral describes it as "bacterial SSU rRNA". It matches the Rfam family "Bacterial small subunit ribosomal RNA", at positions 28 to 496 of the family's 1533-position model. The record is from RNAcentral.